Calidris pygmaea (Spoon-billed sandpiper) is the source of this 1639-nucleotide long non-coding RNA. The record is from Ensembl. Lineage: Eukaryota; Metazoa; Chordata; Aves; Charadriiformes; Scolopacidae.
AUGGUCUCAGCCCCUGAGCCACCCUGGCAAGUCCCAGGCCACGGUGAGGGGCUCAAGCCCUGGGGACACAGGGGCUGGCACCCCCCAGCAGCCCCAGGACCGUGUGUUUGUCCAGAGGGGACGGUGGUGGCUCCUUCCAGAGCCAUCAGCCCAUCCACAGGCUCUUGGCCCACCCCGGAGGAAGGCAGGAGAGGUAGGGAGGUCUGGAGGACAGCAGCAGCAGGGUCUCCAGGCAUGGCCAUGCCCACCUCUCCCCCAGGGACGUGGAAGGGGCCCUGGGGAAGAGCAGGACCACACAGAAAUAGUUCCGGACAGUGUUUUACAAAUAGUUGUUGGCUUUGGCAGCUGGAGCAGUUCAGUGGUGAGCCCAGAAGAGGUUGUGAUGGCAUCAGGCGUCCGGUGCUCCCCAGGCAGCAUCCACCACCAUCGGGGGAAGGCAGGAAGGGCACAGCCAGUCAAGCUCUACCUGCAAGAAGAAAAAAUCCCAGUGGGGACUGUUGGGGGGGGACAGCAAAUCCUAUAAGCCCCCAGAGCGGGCAGAGCAACCCCUCAGCUGCCUCUUACAGGGGCUGGCAAAGGACCCCAAGCCCUCCUACUUGUCCGGCAAAGACCCAUCCAACGAUAAAUUCUGGCUGGUAGCCACAGCUGGAGGAGCAGGGCCACCACCAGGAGAGGGGCUGGAAGCAUCUUACCUACAGAUGUUGCGACACGGGUGGUCCCUUCUGCACCAGACCAAGACACCUGGGGACAAACCAGUCAUCAUCUCCAUUAAACACCCCAGAGAUGGUGCUCGGGCAACAUGUGGCAUCACUUGGUUGGGAAAUCUCAAGCUGUGAGAGGCUGCCAGCGCUCCCUGAGGCAGGGCUGGUGUUUGGGGGCCGAAGGAACAUCCCCUCCCUGUCCAUCUCCACGCUGCCCCAGGGACACCGAUGGUCCCACCGCUGGCCAGGGAGCCACCAGCUCCAGCCAUGUCUGAGCAGGUACAAGGGGAGCGUGACGGGGACGAGGAGAGCAGGAGAACAUCGAUGAGCUCCUCCAGCACCUACCCAGUGCCUGGAGGCGUUUUCACAGGAAAAACCUGAAAACUUUGUGCAAUAGCAAAACACACACAUAAAUCACCUCGGGAGAACCUCCUACUUCUAUUUUAAACUGCCAGAGCCUCUUCUCAAGUCCAGACUUGGGCAUUUCUUUGUUUGGUUUUUUUUUUUCCCCACUCCAAGUUUGCAGGCAGCAAUCUCAGAAUUAAAAAUCCCCACUUUGCCAGGGACUGGGGUUGGGCCGGAAGAAACACUCUCCAGCUCCAAAAAAGGAGGAAAAAAGCAAGACCACUGAGUAAAGCAGCACUUUUCCCUCCUGCGGGCAGAAAACCACUGCAGACGGCGGUGGGGGGACUCAGUGCUCUUGCCCUAGAAGGGAUGUGUGACAUCCCCCGGUGCCCAUGGGACUCUGGGGGGGGUUUGACCCAGACAAGGACAGUAAAGUGUAAUCUCCCGCCUGCUCUGGACAUGCAGGAGGCAUUUUCAUGCCAGCCUUCCCCUGCCCCACGUCUGGGAGCAGGGAGGAAAGGGAAGGUGACAGAGGGCAACAGCACCUCCUGGGGUUGGGGGACACCCUGCUUGAAACCACAGCAGUGACAAAG